ACGAGGGGAUGAAAAGAUCUGGCAAAUACUUCUCUAAGUGUGGGAGGGUGAGGCUGGAGCGGCACUGUGCAUUCAGGUGAGCCAUCCGGCACGCAACAAACAGGCGUUGUAAUUCUUAAAACCACCCACCCGCAUUCCAGACAAAGGACCCACAAGAAGAGGUGACUGCUUCCCCUGCUCCCAUCCCUCCCCCUGCCCAGCGAUGUGCUGGUAAAUAAAUGCUGAACAACCAGAUCUGGAGGCGGGAGAUCUCAGCUGUAACAAAACCCAGUUUAUGUGGUGCCAGUGUUCCCACCGACCCACGGCAGAGCUGGGAAGAGAUGCGCGCACCAGCUCUCGGGCCUCUAAGGGCCAGCCCCGGCACACCUCUGCGUCAGCUCUUUGUCAGAUGCCUUCAGAAUGCGGCCAUGAUUCAAGGUGCACAAACAACCGCAGCUCUUUCCAUCCUGUUCCCACUUGCUGCCAGUUCUCUGUCUACUAUCAAAUGUCCCCGAGGAGAGAAUCUGUCACCCUUGUCCUUUUAGGGGAAAGCUCUCCUUGGAGGCUAUCUCGGAAGCCACUGAGCAGCCCAUAGGCUGGCUACCUCUGAGCCAGGUGUCCUCUCCUACUCCAUCUGUGGCUAAGAUGGACGGCUCACAUGCUAGACAACGUGGUCACCCAUGCUGAAGAAACAGACUGCGUUGCUACCUGCUUAGGGUGUUGUGGUCGGGGUGGCCUCUUUCGAAAGGAGUCUGUAAGCACGACAGGCUUUCAAGCGGUGGUCUCUCUGACGUACUGUUCUCAGCUCUUCAGUGAGAUCCUCUCGGCCACUACACAGAGCUUUGGGACAGCUUCUCCGCCACGUACCCCAAGGAACAUCUUGGGUAGGUGCCAACAACUGCAAACACGAGAAUGGACAGGUUAGGACUGGAUAGGAUUCAAGAGCCCCUCAUUUAGGGGGAGAAACCCUAUUAAGUUCAGUGAACAUUUAUCAAGUGCCGUUGUUUCAAACCAAUAGUGAUGAUUGGAGAGUAAGGAAAUCAUCUCAUAGGAGGAUGUCAUAGACGAUCCAGGAGAAGGGUUUCCAGACUACACUCAAUCCAAACUCCACAGAUUCUGCUUUCCUAAUCUGGGAAGUAGAACGGCGUGACUCAGCUCUGCCGAGAACACUUCUAUAUUGGUAGAAGCGUGCCCCUUGCCUCAAUGUGCUGGGGUGGGAGUGGGGUCAAGGAGAACUAUUCUCAACAACGUGAGGGACACAGAGUCAAUGCUGACUGGCUCACGGAGACACUUGAAAUCUUCUUUUACACAGUGGAAGCCAUCCCUUUUGUUAAUUCUGGAGAUAGUUGAUGUAUUCCCAUGAUGGAUGCGCUACCUGAUUCUCCCAGCUUUGGAUAUGUGGCUGCGCUACAACAAACAAUAACUAUUUUGACAAGAUUUUCAAUAUUGUAGACCAUUAAAUAAUCCUCUCUAGACCAGCAAAGCUGCUUGACUGUUAGCAAGAUCGCAUCACAUAAAGUGAUAUAUGCUACAUCAACCAUGUACACAUACAGAAGAAAAGAGAGCGAAGGGGAAGGAGCGAGAAUGAACAGUUGAAACUGCACAGGAAAAUUCUGGUGGGAGACUUGAUUCUACUUUCAUUCAGUCUCUUAGUGCUUCUUCUUUCGAGAGCAUCUAACCCCUCAGUGUGUGCAUCCAGUGUUUACAGGUAUUUUUCAAACCACGCACAACUUGCCCCUAACUGCAAACUACCUCCUUCAUAUGUUCAGCCUAAGCAGUUGCAAUCUGAUCCAGUAGUAGAGGAAAUCCCGGCUGUGCUGGGCUUUCUGGGAAAUGGCAUGUUGCUCUCCAAAAUGGUCUCCUUACAGGAUUUUCUGCAGUAGUUUAACCUCUGCCUAAAUUUCCCUCUGCGAGCUGCCAUUAGAACUUAAUCUCAAGUAGGUUAAGCAUCCGACUUCAGCCAGGUCACGAUCUCGAAGUCCGUGAGUUCGAGCCCCGCGUCAGGCUCUGGGCUGAUGGCUCAGAGCCUGGAGCCUGUUUCCAAUUCUGUGUCUCCCUCUCUCUCUGCCCCUCCCCCGUUCAUGCUCUGUCUCUCUCCGUCCCAAAAAUAAAUAAAAACGUUGAAAAAAAAAUUUUUUUAAAAAAGAACUUAAUCUCAUAAUCAGAUACAGCUCCACUCAGUAGUCAGGGACUUGAGCUUCGGGAUCAGAUAGAUCUAAAUUCAUGCAUGGCCUCCACCAUUAAAGCCCAUGGGACAGUAGGCAAGCUACUUAACUUUGCCUAAGCUUUGACGUUCUUUUUUCUUUCUGUAGAAUGAAAAAAUAAAGAUACCACCAUGCAUGACACUUAGCACAAUCCCAUGCUACCUAUGUACCUAUGUCCUUAAUAAAUAUCAAUAUAAUACUAAUAUUAUUAACCUUUAUCAUCACUUACCAACUUUCAAUCACCAGAGUCACUCUUUGCCUUUAAGCUUUAUCUGACAUGAUUUCCUGUGUCUGAAAUGACUCAUAGUUUCUCUGCACAGCUUAGAGUCCUACAUUUGUAUUCAUAAUCACCUCUUAAGGAAGUCAGUUCAGAUUUAAUAAUACAUUCAAUGUGUGUUUUCUUCCAAUACUUUUUAUAUUUACAUCCACGUUUGCUAAUAGUAAAUAUGUUAUCAAAUGUU
Felis catus (domestic cat) is the source of this 2644-nucleotide long non-coding RNA. RefSeq lists it as uncharacterized. The record is from RefSeq and is a predicted model, not a curated record. NCBI's taxonomy places the organism in Eukaryota, Metazoa, Chordata, Mammalia, Carnivora, Felidae. The transcript is spliced from 3 exons.